RNAcentral lists this transfer RNA (43 nucleotides) under Mecaphesa insulana. RNAcentral's name for it is "tRNA-Leu". Lineage: Eukaryota; Metazoa; Arthropoda; Arachnida; Araneae; Thomisidae. The record is from RNAcentral.
UAUUUACAAAUCUUAAUUAAACUUUAACUUUGAUUAAUCCUUU